This 297-nucleotide long non-coding RNA is filed under the name Nicotiana benthamiana. RNAcentral describes it as "long non-coding RNA (NBEN_LNC025501)". Lineage: Eukaryota; Viridiplantae; Streptophyta; Magnoliopsida; Solanales; Solanaceae. The record is from RNAcentral.
AAGGGGGUUAAAUGCUAAAAACCUAUUCUAAUUCUAUAUAUUUUUUCUUAAUUUUAUGUCUUUAUCUCAGCAUAACAACAAAAUCCAUAACAGAAAAGGGGGUUAAAUGCUAAAAACCUAUUCUAAUUCAAUAUAUUUUUUCUUAUUUUUAUGUCUUUAUCUCAGCGAAAAGAUCAAAUGUCGAAUCCAUUUAUUUUUCUUGUAUUCAAGCAGGUUGGACUGUGUAUUAUCAUAAUAAUGGUAGAAAUAGAAUCAUUUUUGUUUUGAUAUUCUAUACAAAAUCCUAUAACUUCAUUA